RNAcentral lists this ribosomal RNA (251 nucleotides) under uncultured prokaryote. RNAcentral describes it as "partial 16S rRNA". It matches the Rfam family "Bacterial small subunit ribosomal RNA", at positions 525 to 775 of the family's 1533-position model. The record is from RNAcentral.
ACGGAGGCCUCAAGCGUUGUUCGGAAUUACUGGGCGUAAAGGGUGCGUAGGCGGCGAGGUAAGUCAGAUGUGAAAGCCCGGGGCUCAACCCCGGAAUUGCAUCCGAUACUGCUUUGCUUGAGGGAUGGAGAGGAGGCUGGAAUUCACGGUGUAGCGGUGAAAUGCUAUGAUAUCGUGAGGAAGGCCAGUGGCGAAGGCGUGUAUCUGGACAACACCUGACGCUGAGUAACGAAAGCCAGGGGAGCGAAAAG